GUGGGGAAUAUUGGGCAAUGGGGGAAACCCUGACCCAGCAACGCCGCGUGAAGGAAGAAGGCUUUCGGGUUGUAAACUUCUUUUAUGAGGGACGAAGAAGUGACGGUACCUCAUGAAUAAGCCACGGCUAACUACGUGCCAGCAGCCGCGGUAAUACGUAGGUGGCAAGCGUUGUCCGGAUUUACUGGGUGUAAAGGGCGCGUAGGCGGGAUAGCAAGUCAGGUGUGAAAUCCGGGGGCUUAACCCUCGAACUGCACUUGAAACUGUUAUUCUUGAGUGAUGGAGAGGCAAGCGGAAUUCCUAGUGUAGCGGUGAAAUGUGUAGAUAUUAGGAGGAACACCAGUGGCGAAGGCGGCUUGCUGGACAUUAACUGACGCUGAGGCGCGAAAGCGUGGGGAGCAAACAGGAUUAGAAACCCCAGUAGUCC
This 427-nucleotide ribosomal RNA is filed under the name uncultured bacterium. RNAcentral's name for it is "partial 16S ribosomal RNA". It matches the Rfam family "Bacterial small subunit ribosomal RNA", at positions 354 to 796 of the family's 1533-position model. The record is from RNAcentral.